GAUGAACGCUGGCGGCGUGCCUAAUACAUGCAAGUCGAGCGAACGGACGAGAAGCUUGCUUCUCUGAUGUUAGCGGCGGACGGGUGAGUAACACGCGGAUAACCUACCUAUAAGACUGGGAUAACUUCGGGAAACCGUAGCUAAUACCGGAUAAUAUUUUGAACCGCAUGGUUCAAAAGUGAAAGACGGUCUUGCUGUCACUUAUAGAUGGAUCCGCGCUGCAUUAGCUAGUUGGUAAGGUAACGGCUUACCAAGGCAACGAUGCAUAGCCGACCUGAGAGGGUGAUCGGCCACACUGGAACUGAGACACGGUCCAGACUCCUACGGGAGGCAGCAGUAGGGAAUCUUCCGCAAUGGGCGAAAGCCUGACGGAGCAACGCCGCGUGAGUGAUGAAGGUCUUCGGAUCGUAAAACUCUGUUAUUAGGGAAGAACAUAUGUGUAAGUAACUGUGCACAUCUUGACGGUACCUAAUCAGAAAGCCACGGCUAACUACGUGCCAGCAGCCGCGGUAAUACGUAGGUGGCAAGCGUUAUCCGGAAUUAUUGGGCGUAAAGCGCGCGUAGGCGGUUUUUUAAGUCUGAUGUGAAAGCCCACGGCUCAACCGUGGAGGGUCAUUGGAAACUGGAAAACUUGAGUGCAGAAGAGGAAAGUGGAAUUCCAUGUGUAGCGGUGAAAUGCGCAGAGAUAUGGAGGAACACCAGUGGCGAAGGCGACUUUCUGGUCUGUAACUGACGCUGAUGUGCGAAAGCGUGGGGAUCAAACAGGAUUAGAUACCCUGGUAGUCCACGCCGUAAACGAUGAGUGCUAAGUGUUAGGGGGUUUCCGCCCCUUAGUGCUGCAGCUAACGCAUUAAGCACUCCGCCUGGGGAGUACGACCGCAAGGUUGAAACUCAAAGGAAUUGACGGGGACCCGCACAAGCGGUGGAGCAUGUGGUUUAAUUCGAAGCAACGCGAAGAACCUUACCAAAUCUUGACAUCCUUUGACAACUCUAGAGAUAGAGCCUUCCCCUUCGGGGGACAAAGUGACAGGUGGUGCAUGGUUGUCGUCAGCUCGUGUCGUGAGAUGUUGGGUUAAGUCCCGCAACGAGCGCAACCCUUAAGCUUAGUUGCCAUCAUUAAGUUGGGCACUCUAAGUUGACUGCCGGUGACAAACCGGAGGAAGGUGGGGAUGACGUCAAAUCAUCAUGCCCCUUAUGAUUUGGGCUACACACGUGCUACAAUGGACAAUACAAAGGGCAGCGAAACCGCGAGGUCAAGCAAAUCCCAUAAAGUUGUUCUCAGUUCGGAUUGCAGUCUGCAACUCGACUACAUGAAGCUGGAAUCGCUAGUAAUCGUAGAUCAGCAUGCUACGGUGAAUACGUUCCCGGGUCU
This 1372-nucleotide ribosomal RNA is filed under the name uncultured bacterium. RNAcentral's name for it is "bacterial SSU rRNA". It matches the Rfam family "Bacterial small subunit ribosomal RNA", at positions 28 to 1381 of the family's 1533-position model. The record is from RNAcentral.